This 427-nucleotide ribosomal RNA is filed under the name uncultured bacterium. Its description in RNAcentral is "partial 16S ribosomal RNA". It matches the Rfam family "Bacterial small subunit ribosomal RNA", at positions 354 to 796 of the family's 1533-position model. The record is from RNAcentral.
GUGGGGAAUAUUGGGCAAUGGGGGAAACCCUGACCCAGCGACGCCGCGUGAGGGAAGAAGGCCUUAGGGUCGUAAACCUCUGUUGUGUGGGAAGAAGAGCGUGACGGUACCACACGAGGAAGUCCCGGCUAACUACGUGCCAGCAGCCGCGGUAAUACGUAGGGGACGAGCGUUGUCCGGAUUUACUGGGCGUAAAGGGCGCGUAGGCGGUCAUUUAAGUCAGCUGUGAAAUGGUUUGGCUUAACCGGAUCAUGCGGUUGAAACUGGAUGACUGGAGUGCUGGAGAGGCUAGUGGAAUUCCCAGUGUAGCGGUGAAAUGCGUAGAUAUUGGGAAGAACACCGGUGGCGAAGGCGACUUGCUGGCCAGCAACUGACGCUGAGGCGCGAAAGCCAGGGGAGCAAACGGGAUUAGAUACCCGUGUAGUCC